UAUCACUAAGCGGAGCAAACGGGUCCCUGCAUAUGCUCCUAAGCUGGAACUUAGGGGAUCCGUAUCUUUGGUUUUGGCUCUCGUCUAUGUUCCUUGGAACAGGACGUCACAGAGGGUGAGAAUCCCGUGCGAUGAGAUGCCCAAUUCCAUGUAAAGUUCCUUCGACGAGUCGAGUUGUUUGGGAAUGCAGCUCUAAGUGGGUGGUAAAUUCCAUCUAAAGCUAAAUAUUGGCGAGAGACCGAUAGCGAACAAGUACUGUGAAGGAAAGAUGAAAAGAACUUUGAAAAGAGAGUGAAAAAGUACGUGAAAUUGUUGAAAGGGAAGGGCUUGAGGUCAGACUUGGUUUUACCAGGCCAGCAUCAGUUUGGAUGGCAGGAUAAUAGCUUAGGAAUGUGGCACUGCUUCGGUAGUGUGUUAUAGCCUGGGUUGAUACUGCCUGUCUAGACUGAGGACUGCGUCUUUGACUAGGAUGCUGGCAUAAUGACCUUAAGCC
Molecule: ribosomal RNA, 493 nt
Filed under: Yamadazyma mexicana
Lineage: Eukaryota; Fungi; Ascomycota; Pichiomycetes; Serinales; Debaryomycetaceae
Description: eukaryotic LSU rRNA
Rfam family: Eukaryotic large subunit ribosomal RNA
Source: RNAcentral